RNAcentral lists this ribosomal RNA (596 nucleotides) under uncultured bacterium. RNAcentral describes it as "bacterial SSU rRNA". It matches the Rfam family "Bacterial small subunit ribosomal RNA", at positions 112 to 704 of the family's 1533-position model. The record is from RNAcentral.
AAUGCAUCGGAACGUGCCCAGUCGUGGGGGAUAACGCAGCGAAAGCUGCGCUAAUACCGCAUACGAUCUAUGGAUGAAAGCGGGGGACCGUAAGGCCUCGCGCGAUUGGAGCGGCCGAUGUCAGAUUAGGUAGUUGGUGGGGUAAAGGCUCACCAAGCCAACGAUCUGUAGCUGGUCUGAGAGGACGACCAGCCACACUGGGACUGAGACACGGCCCAGACUCCUACGGGAGGCAGCAGUGGGGAAUUUUGGACAAUGGGCGCAAGCCUGAUCCAGCAAUGCCGCGUGCAGGAAGAAGGCCUUCGGGUUGUAAACUGCUUUUGUACGGAACGAAAAGGCUCUGGUUAAUACCUGGGGCACAUGACGGUACCGUAAGAAUAAGCACCGGCUAACUACGUGCCAGCAGCCGCGGUAAUACGUAGGGUGCAAGCGUUAAUCGGAAUUACUGGGCGUAAAGCGUGCGCAGGCGGUUUUGUAAGACAGGCGUGAAAUCCCCGGGCUUAACCUGGGAAUUGCGCUUGUGACUGCAGGGCUGGAGUGCGGCAGAGGGGGAUGGAAUUCCGCGUGUAGCAGUGAAAUGCGUAGAUAUGCGGAGG